Molecule: transfer RNA, 72 nt
Filed under: Uranoscopus japonicus
Lineage: Eukaryota; Metazoa; Chordata; Actinopteri; Uranoscopiformes; Uranoscopidae
Description: tRNA-Asp
Source: RNAcentral
AAGGCACUAAUAAAACAUCCAUUAUGCUGCCUCGUCAAGGCAGAUUUGUGGGUUUAAACCCCACGUGCCUUA